AGCAGCGUGGCUCAGUGGAAAGAGCCUGGGCCUGGGAGUCAGAGGUCAUGGGUUCGAAUCCCGGCUCUGCCG
Non-coding RNA from Ornithorhynchus anatinus (platypus), 72 nucleotides. NCBI's taxonomy places the organism in Eukaryota, Metazoa, Chordata, Mammalia, Monotremata, Ornithorhynchidae. The record is from Rfam.